CCUACGGGUGGCUGCAGUGGGGAAUAUUGGACAAUGGGCGAAAGCCUGAUCCAGCCAUGCCGCGUGUGUGAAGAAGGCCUUCGGGUUGUAAAGCACUUUCAGUGGGGAAGAAAGCCUUGGGGCUAAUACCCUCGAGGAAGGACAUCACCCACAGAAGAAGCACCGGCUAACUCCGUGCCAGCAGCCGCGGUAAUACGGAGGGUGCGAGCGUUAAUCGGAAUUACUGGGCGUAAAGCGCGCGUAGGCGGUCUGAUAAGCCGGUUGUGAAAGCCACGGGCUCAACCUGGGAACGGCAUCCGGAACUGUCAGGCUAGAGUGCAGGAGAGGAAGGUAGAAUUCCCGGUGUAGCGGUGAAAUGCGUAGAGAUCGGGAGGAAUACCAGUGGCGAAGGCGGCCUUCUGGACUGACACUGACGCUGAGGUGCGAAAGCGUGGGUAGCAAACAGGAUUAGAUACCCUAGUAGUC
Molecule: ribosomal RNA, 465 nt
Filed under: Vreelandella stevensii
Lineage: Bacteria; Pseudomonadati; Pseudomonadota; Gammaproteobacteria; Oceanospirillales; Halomonadaceae
Description: partial 16S ribosomal RNA
Rfam family: Bacterial small subunit ribosomal RNA
Source: RNAcentral